Molecule: ribosomal RNA, 502 nt
Filed under: uncultured bacterium
Lineage: Bacteria
Description: bacterial SSU rRNA
Rfam family: Bacterial small subunit ribosomal RNA
Source: RNAcentral
GAUGCAACGCGAAAAGCCUUACCUACCCUUGACAUGUCCGGAAUCCUGCUGAGAGGUGGGAGUGCCCGAAAGGGAAUCGGAACACAGGUGCUGCAUGGCUGUCGUCAGCUCGUGUCGUGAGAUGUUGGGUUAAGUCCCGCAACGAGCGCAACCCUUAUCAUUAGUUGCUACGCAAGGGCACUCUAAUGAGACUGCCGGUGACAAACCGGAGGAAGGUGGGGAUGACGUCAAGUCCUCAUGGCCCUUAUGGGUAGGGCUUCACACGUCAUACAAUGGUCGGUACAGAGGGUUGCCGAGCCGCGAGGCGGAGCCAAUCCCAGAAAGCCGAUCGUAGUCCGGAUUGUUCUCUGCGACUCGAGAGCAUGAAGUCGGAAUCGCUAGUAAUCGCGGAUCAGCAUGUCGCGGUGAAUACGUUCCCGGGUCUUGUACACACCGCCCGUCACAACCAUGGGAUGGAUGAAGUAGGUAGCCUAACCCGCAAGGAGGGCGCUACCACGCUGUU